CAUGCACGUCUAAGUACUCGCCUUGGUCUAUUUAAAGUGAAACCGCGAAUGGCUCAUUAAAUCAGUUAUGGUUCACUGGACCGUACCACAUCCUACUCGGAUAACUGUGGUAAUUCUAGAGCUAAUACAUGCAACUAGGCCCUGCCCGGCCGCUCCGUCCGUCAAAACGACGGUCGGUCGGAAAGGGCGCCAUUAUCAGCUCAAAACCGACCGGGUCGCCCGCCGUCCUCUGGACGGGCAGGGCUCCCGUUCUCGUUGACCCUUUGACGACUCUGGAUAACCUCCUAGCGGAUCGCCGGUCAAACUUAGGUCGGCCGGGUGUUUCGGCAUCCGCGCCCGACCUAACGGCGACUGGUCUUUCGAAUGUCUGCCUUAUCAACUGUCGACGGUAGGUUAGACGCCUACCGUGGUCGUAACGGGUGACGGGGAAUCAGGGUUCGAUUCCGGAGAGGGAGCCUGAGAAACGGCUACCACAUCCAAGGAAGGCAGCAGGCACGCAAAUUACCCAAUCCCCGAACGGGGAGGUAGUGACGAAAAAUAACGAUACGGGACUCUUAACGAGGCCUCGUAAUCGGAAUGAGUCCGCUCUAAAUCCUUUUAACGAGGAUCUAUCGGAGGGCAAGUCUGGUGCCAGCAGCCGCGGUAAUUCCAGCUCCGAUAGCAUAUAUUAAAGUUGCUGCGGUUGAAAAGCUCGUAGUUGGAUUUGGGUUUUCGAGCCGGCGGGCCACCACCUUCGAGNGGCGCGUCUCCUGCCGCGCCCCCAGAACCGCACAGUCGCAGAGGCCCCCGCGGUGCUCUUGAGUGAGUGUCCGCCGGUUCGGGUCGCCGAACGUUUACUUUGAAAAAAUUAGAGUGCUCCAGGCAGGCUGGUAAAGCGUUGUUUAAAAAAGACCCGCGCCUGAAUAGUCACGCAUGGAAUAAUGAAAGAGGACCGGUGGUCCUAUUUUGUUGGUUUUCGGGAUUUUCCGCCGUCAUGAUUAAGAGGGACGGCCGGGGGCAUUCGUACCGCGGCGCGAGAGGUGAAAUUCAAGGACCGCCGCGAGACNAACCNNUGCGAAAGCAUUUGCCAAGAAUGUUUUCCUUAA
This 1085-nucleotide ribosomal RNA is filed under the name Kumbadjena kaata. RNAcentral describes it as "SSU rRNA". It matches the Rfam family "Eukaryotic small subunit ribosomal RNA", at positions 50 to 976 of the family's 1831-position model. The record is from RNAcentral. Lineage: Eukaryota; Metazoa; Onychophora; Udeonychophora; Euonychophora; Peripatopsidae.